CCACAAUGGGGGAAACCCUGAUGGAGCGACGCCGCGUGCGGGGAUGAAGGCCCUAUGGGUUGUAAACCGCUGUUCAGUGGAAAGAACAUCCUCCGGCUGAAUAGGUCGGAGGCCUGACGUUACCACUGCAGAAAGUCCCGGCCAACUCCGUGCCAGCAGCCGCGGUAAUACGGGGGACGAGCGUUGUCCGGAAUCAUUGGGCGUAAAGGGCGCGUAGGCGGCGAGGAAAGUCGAAUGGUGAAAUCUUGCGGCUCAGCUGCAAAACUGCGUUCGAAACUUCCUCGCUUGAGUAUGAGAGAGGUGUGCGGAAUUCCUGGUGUAGCGGUGGAAUGCGUAGAGUAUCAGGAGGAACACCGGUGGCGAAAGGCGGCAC
This 373-nucleotide ribosomal RNA is filed under the name uncultured microorganism. RNAcentral describes it as "bacterial SSU rRNA". It matches the Rfam family "Bacterial small subunit ribosomal RNA", at positions 366 to 727 of the family's 1533-position model. The record is from RNAcentral.